AUGAGAUUUGAUAAUUUAUUUGUAGUGAAAGCUUGUUUUCUAGCCAUUCUUAUUGGUAACGAAAAAAACAUACCCUUUAUAACAAGUUCCCGACAUGGUGAUAAUAGCUGAGUAAUGCGUAUCGAGUUGGGUAGACCAAACGAGCUCACCAUUGCUACGGUUAAGCCCCAGAACAUAAGCGGGCCCGCAAAUCCCAAAGAUCAAAAGAUCAUCAGCAACAGUAGGGGUUGAUCUUGAAACAGUCCAGUUAACUCCUGAUGUGAAUCCUGUUGAAUUAAGCCCGGUUAGCUGUCCAAGAUUGUGUUGCCAAAUGACUGACCCGUCGGAUGCAUUAAGCGCGUAUAUGUUUCCAUUCCAACUUGGGAAAUAGAUGGUGUUGUUGUAUAUCGUUGGAGUCGCGGUUAUAUCUUUUCCGGCUACAAACUUCCAUUUCAACCUGAGGUUAGCCACAGUUUUAGGACUGAUUUUUGUUUCGCCAUACGCGUAUCUACGGUUUUGUAAAUCUCCACCAUGAUUUGUCCAAUCAGUUGACUAUAAACAAUAAACAAAUUAUCAAAAUGAUGGCGAAAAUGGUUGUCUAUGAAUCCUUAAAAUGAAACAUGAACACAUACCUUAGCUGAGGUUUGAAUAAAAAGGAACAACCAAAUGAAGAUGACAAAGUAGAGGCAAUUGGGUGCCAUUAAAAUGGUUGGUUUGUUUCCAAAACAGACUUGUAAUGUCUCUUUUAAAUAUAAUUUAUCCAAAUUUGGAAGUCAAUGUAAUGUUUCUUUCUUGUUAAACAAGUUUUAUCAUUUUAAAAUAUUGGAGAAUUG
This 812-nucleotide long non-coding RNA is filed under the name Helianthus annuus (common sunflower). Its description in RNAcentral is "hypothetical non coding rna". Lineage: Eukaryota; Viridiplantae; Streptophyta; Magnoliopsida; Asterales; Asteraceae. The record is from RNAcentral.